GCCGGCUUAGCUCAGUGGUAGAGCAGCGCUUUUGUAAAGCGAAGGUCAUCGGUUCAAAUCCGUUAGUCGGCUC
This 73-nucleotide transfer RNA is filed under the name cyanobiont of Ornithocercus magnificus. RNAcentral's name for it is "tRNA-Thr". It matches the Rfam family "tRNA". Rfam says of the family: Transfer RNA (tRNA) molecules are approximately 80 nucleotides in length. The record is from RNAcentral. Lineage: Bacteria; Bacillati; Cyanobacteriota; Cyanophyceae; Synechococcales.